GGCCGGUUAGCUCAGCUGGUUAGAGCGUGGUGCUAAUAACGCCAAGGUCGCGGGUUCGACCCCUGUACUGGCCA
RNAcentral lists this transfer RNA (74 nucleotides) under Denticeps clupeoides (denticle herring). It matches the Rfam family "tRNA". From Rfam's summary of the family: Transfer RNA (tRNA) molecules are approximately 80 nucleotides in length. Their secondary structure includes four short double-helical elements and three loops (D, anti-codon, and T loops). The record is from Rfam by way of RNAcentral. RNAcentral also lists the same sequence under 1 other name. Lineage: Eukaryota; Metazoa; Chordata; Actinopteri; Clupeiformes; Denticipitidae.